Molecule: ribosomal RNA, 458 nt
Filed under: uncultured bacterium
Lineage: Bacteria
Description: partial 16S ribosomal RNA
Rfam family: Bacterial small subunit ribosomal RNA
Source: RNAcentral
CCUACGGGAGACAGCAGUGAGGAAUAUUGGUCAAUGGGCGAGAGCCUGAACCAGCCAAGUCGCGUGAGGGAGUACUGCCCUAUGGGUUGUAAACCUCUUUUGUCGGGGAGCAAAAGCCGGACGUGUCCGGCUGUGAGAGUACCCGAAGAAAAAGCAUCGGCUAACUCCGUGCCAGCAGCCGCGGUAAUACGGAGGAUGCGAGCGUUAUCCGGAUUUAUUGGGGUUAAAGGGUGCGCAGGCGGAUUUUUAAGUCAGCGGUCAAAUCGUGGGGCUCAACCCCAUCCAGCCGUUGAAACUGGGGAUCUAGAGUGUGCGAGAGGUAUGCGGAAUGCGUAGUGUAGCGGUGAAAUGCUUAGAUAUUGCGCAGAACUCCGAUUGCGAAGGCAGCAUACCGGCGGCGAUCUGACGCUGAGGCACGAAAGCGUGGGUAUCGAACAGGAUUAGAUACCCGAGUAGUC